GACGAACGCUGGCGGCGUGCUUAACACAUGCAAGUCGAACGGAAAGGCCCUGCUUUUGUGGGGUGCUCGAGUGGCGAACGGGUGAGUAACACGUGAGUAACCUGCCCUUGACUUUGGGAUAACUUCAGGAAACUGGGGCUAAUAACGGAUAGGAGCUCCUGCUGCACGGUGGGGGUUGGAAAGCUUCGGCGGAUGGGGAUGGACUCGCGGCUUAUCAGCUUGUUGGUGGGGUAGUGGCUUACCAAGGCUUUGACGGGUAGCCGGCCUGAGAGGGUGACCGGCCACAUUGGGACUGAGAUACGGCCCAGACUACUACGGGAGGCAGCAGUGGGGAAUAUUGCACAAUGGGCGGAAGCCUGAUGCAGCAACGCCACGUGCGGGAUGACGGCCUUCGGGUUGUAAACCGCUUUCGCCUGUGACGAAGCGUGAGUGACGGUAAUGGGUAAAGAAGCACCGGCUAACUACGUG
Molecule: ribosomal RNA, 468 nt
Filed under: uncultured bacterium
Lineage: Bacteria
Description: partial 16S ribosomal RNA
Rfam family: Bacterial small subunit ribosomal RNA
Source: RNAcentral